Molecule: transfer RNA, 72 nt
Filed under: Youngiibacter fragilis 232.1
Lineage: Bacteria; Bacillati; Bacillota; Clostridia; Eubacteriales; Clostridiaceae
Description: Clostridium sp. 232.1 tRNA
Rfam family: tRNA
About the family: Transfer RNA (tRNA) molecules are approximately 80 nucleotides in length. Their secondary structure includes four short double-helical elements and three loops (D, anti-codon, and T loops).
Source: Rfam by way of RNAcentral
CGGGGUGUAGCGCAGGGGUAGCGUACUUGACUGGGGGUCAAGGGGUCGCAAGUUCAAAUCUUGUCACUCCGA